GGUGAACGCUAGCGGCGUGCUUUAGGUAUGCAAGUCGAGCGACGUGUCCGCCCACUUUGUUUCUGAGCAAGAAUAUUUAUUCAAAGCUCGGAGGUAAGGUGGGUGGAUUACGAGCGGCGGACGGGUGAGUAACAAGUGAGAACGUACCCUUUAGUGAGGAAUAACCCGGCGAAAGUCGGGCUAAUACCGCAUAUGAUCGCAAGAUCAAAGGCCAUAACUGGUCGCUAAAGGAGCGGCUCGCUUCCCAUCAGCUUGUUGGUAGGGUAAAAGCCUACCAAGGCUACGACGGGUAGCUGGACUGAGAGGUUGACCAGCCACAAGGGCACUGAGACACGGGGCCCUACUCCUACGGGAGGCGCAAUCGGGAAUCAUAGACAAUGGGCGAAAGCCUGAUCUUGCGACGCCGCGUGGAGGAUGACGGCUC
Molecule: ribosomal RNA, 424 nt
Filed under: uncultured bacterium
Lineage: Bacteria
Description: bacterial SSU rRNA
Rfam family: Bacterial small subunit ribosomal RNA
Source: RNAcentral